CCUCAUUAACCUAGUACAUUAUACUACUUCACUUCAUCUUCUCCUUCUGAGACCCAAACCUUAGCGCUGCCCCAAAUCCCCCACCUUCUCCGGUGCCGGCACCACCUCAAACCACCACCAAAUUCACACCCCAAGAUCCUCACAACCCCCCCUUUCCCAAUUCCUAACCAGUUUCCCUAGAAGCUCUCGAAUCUUCAAUCGAAACAGUCAGGCCCCAAACCCUAAAACCCCAAAUAUCUCGAAUCGGCAAGUUUCAUUAAUGGAUUGGGGUCGAGUUUGAUUUUAUUCGUGUGUUCUCAAUGUCAAUUUCGGCUAAAAUCGAAGGUGUUGAAGAGCUUUUCAACUUCCACUGUCCAACCGCCUUCUUAGGUACUUUUUUUGUUUGCUUUUCUUUCCUUCAUUUUUCAUUUUAUUUUUCACCUCAUCUUCUUCUGUUUCUUUCCUUUUCUUUCUUGUUUUUCUAUUUCUUAAAUCAUCGCUGCAUGCAUGUUAAUUUUAGUUUAUUUCAUUCAGCAUCUCUAUUAGCAUGUUUGAUUCUUUUGUUUUAGUUUUCGCUCAAAUUUCCCUCCUGUUUUUGUGUUAUUUGGAAUCUUUGGUUCCAGGAGUUCAUAUAAAUCCGAGUUGCCCUUUUCUUGAAUUUUUCCGUUGGGUUCUCGAUUGAAUUGAGGCUCUAUGAAUUAGAGGCCCAAAGAGAGGGAUUAAUCCGGGUUUUGAAAGCCCAUGUCUGGUUUGUCUUGGGUCAGAAUUGACCCAUGUAGUCUAUUGAGGUAAUUAGGAGGGAUUUAAAGGGUAGUUUAGGGAAUUUAAGUAAGGAAAUCUCUCAUAACUGAUUUAGGAAGCUACUACGAAGGUGGGUUUGGGACUGUUUUAACAAAUUGAUUUUAAAAUUAAGGACAUGCUAGCAAAAAUGAAAAUUAACUAAGGAGUAAAGGGCAAAAACUGAAAUCAUUUCUGCUUCCCUAGAGCUUCUCUAUAAAAGGUUGUUACUUCCUAAUCAAGUGAGAUUGUUAGUGACUAAAAAAUACUGAAAAUUUUAGAAGCGGCUGAGUUCUCUUUCAAAUUUCAAAAUACUGAAAAUUACUUGAAUUGUGCUUGGUUUUUCGGUUAUCUAAUUCCCAUUGUUAGUUAGAAUUUCUAAAAAGGCUCCAAAAUCGUGCACUUGGGUUGAAAAAUGGCUUGAGUUGGUUCUAAAGUUUGGUCUGAUUUGCUGCCUUAGUACUGUUUCAUUGUUGUUGGAGUACUGUUGUUGUGACUGAACUCCUCAUUUUGCUGACUCUUAAGCACAACUUCUUCUUUUGUUUUGAUUGUUGUAUCUAGGUACAUAUUCCUGGACUUUACUGAAUGUGAAGCUCGAUUUGAAGUAUGAAAUGGAAAAAUGGAGUUUAAAGCAUAACAUCAAUUCAUCUGUUUAUGAUUCAGCUAUAUUUGCUGCAUUACAUUGUGUUUUAUUGCCUGAUUCAUUGUAUCUUAACUGAUUUCUGGUUUUGAUAGAUGAACUCUUAUCAUUGUAUUCAAUCUUGGACUAUUAUGAUAUGGAUAUAACUUAGGUAAAUAACAUCUAAGCCAUAUGGUAGUAUUUUUGUUCGUGAUCAAUUUUUCUGGCUUUGUUUGUCUUGGUUUGGG
This 1623-nucleotide long non-coding RNA is filed under the name Nicotiana tabacum (common tobacco). Its description in RNAcentral is "long non-coding RNA (NTAB_LNC015149)". Lineage: Eukaryota; Viridiplantae; Streptophyta; Magnoliopsida; Solanales; Solanaceae. The record is from RNAcentral.